Molecule: ribosomal RNA, 253 nt
Filed under: uncultured bacterium
Lineage: Bacteria
Description: partial 16S ribosomal RNA
Rfam family: Bacterial small subunit ribosomal RNA
Source: RNAcentral
UACAGAGGGUGCAAGCGUUGUUCGGAAUUAUUGGGCGUAAAGCGCGUGUAGGCGGCGUUGUAAGUCGGGUGUGAAAUCCCUCAGCUUAACUGAGGAAGUGCGCCCGAAACUGCGAUGCUUGAGUACCGGAGAGGAUGGCGGAAUUCCAGGAGUAGAGGUGAAAUUCGUAGAGACCUGGAGGAACACCGGUGGCGAAGGCGGCCAUCUGGACGGUAACUGACGCUGAGACGCGAAAGCGUGGGUAGCAAACAGG